GACGAACGCUGGCGGCGUGCCUAAUACAUGCAAGUCGAACGCAUUUUCUUUCACCGUAGCUUGCUACACCGAAAGAAAAUGAGUGGCGAACGGGUGAGUAACACGUGGGUAACCUGCCCAUCAGCGGGGGAUAACACUUGGAAACAGGUGCUAAUACCGCAUAAUUCCAUUUACCGCAUGGUAAAUGGAUGAAAGGCGCUUUUGCGUCACUGAUGGAUGGACCCGCGGUGCAUUAGCUAGUUGGUGGGGUAACGGCCUACCAAGGCUGCGAUGCAUAGCCGACCUGAGAGGGUGAUCGGCCACACUGGGACUGAGACACGGCCCAGACUCCUACGGGAGGCAGCAGUAGGGAAUCUUCGGUAAUGGACGCAAGUCUGACCGAGCAACGCCGCGUGAUUGAAGAAGGUUUUCGGAUCGUAAAACUCUGUUGUUAGAGAAGAACAAGGAUGAGAGUGGAAAGUUCAUCCCUUGACGGUAUCUAACCAGAAAGCCACGGCUAACUACGUG
Molecule: ribosomal RNA, 507 nt
Filed under: uncultured bacterium
Lineage: Bacteria
Description: partial 16S ribosomal RNA
Rfam family: Bacterial small subunit ribosomal RNA
Source: RNAcentral